This 120-nucleotide ribosomal RNA is filed under the name uncultured bacterium. RNAcentral describes it as "partial 16S ribosomal RNA". It matches the Rfam family "Bacterial small subunit ribosomal RNA", at positions 28 to 146 of the family's 1533-position model. The record is from RNAcentral.
GACGAACGCUGGCGGCGUGCUUAACACAUGCAAGUGGAGCGACGAACCGGGCUUCGGCCCGGGGCAAAGCCGCGAACGGGUGAGUAACACGUGGGUAACCUGCCCCGAUGAUUGGGACAA